UACGUAGGUGGCAAGCGUUGUCCGGAUUACUGGGCGUAAAGGGCGCGUAGGCGGCCUUCUAAGUCAGACGUGAAAUCCCCCGGCUUAACCGGGGAACUGCGUCUGAUACUGGAUGGCUUGAAUCCGGGAGAGGGAUGCGGAAUUCCAGGUGGUAGCGGUGAAAUGCGUAGAUAUCUGGAGGAACACCGGUGGCGAAGGCGGCAUCCUGGACCGGCAUUGACGCUGAGGAGCGAAAGCCAGGGGAGCAAACGGG
Molecule: ribosomal RNA, 253 nt
Filed under: uncultured bacterium
Lineage: Bacteria
Description: partial 16S ribosomal RNA
Rfam family: Bacterial small subunit ribosomal RNA
Source: RNAcentral